AACUUUCAACAACGGAUCUCUUGGUUCCGGCAUCGAUGAAGAACGCAGCGAAAUGCGAUAAGUAAUGUGAAUUGCAGAAUUCCGUGAAUCAUCGAAUCUUUGAACGCACAUUGCGCCCUCUGGUAUUCCGGGGGGCAUGCCUGUCCGAGCGUCAU
RNAcentral lists this ribosomal RNA (155 nucleotides) under Acidotalaromyces lignorum. RNAcentral's name for it is "Penicillium lignorum 5.8S ribosomal RNA". It matches the Rfam family "5.8S ribosomal RNA". Rfam says of the family: 5.8S ribosomal RNA (5.8S rRNA) is a component of the large subunit of the eukaryotic ribosome. Lineage: Eukaryota; Fungi; Ascomycota; Eurotiomycetes; Eurotiales; Trichocomaceae. The record is from RNAcentral.